RNAcentral lists this ribosomal RNA (1621 nucleotides) under Escherichia coli. Its description in RNAcentral is "partial 23S ribosomal RNA". It matches the Rfam family "Bacterial large subunit ribosomal RNA", at positions 165 to 1812 of the family's 2925-position model. Lineage: Bacteria; Pseudomonadati; Pseudomonadota; Gammaproteobacteria; Enterobacterales; Enterobacteriaceae. The record is from RNAcentral.
CAUAGGUUAAUGAGGCGAACCGGGGGAACUGAAACAUCUAAGUACCCCGAGGAAAAGAAAUCAACCGAGAUUCCCCCAGUAGCGGCGAGCGAACGGGGAGGAGCCCAGAGCCUGAAUCAGUGUGUGUGUUAGUGGAAGCGUCUGGAAAGGCGCGCGAUACAGGGUGACAGCCCCGUACACAAAAAUGCACAUGCUGUGAGCUCGAUGAGUAGGGCGGGACACGUGGUAUCCUGUCUGAAUAUGGGGGGACCAUCCUCCAAGGCUAAAUACUCCUGACUGACCGAUAGUGAACCAGUACCGUGAGGGAAAGGCGAAAAGAACCCCGGCGAGGGGAGUGAAAAAGAACCUGAAACCGUGUACGUACAAGCAGUGGGAGCCUCUUAAUGGGGUGACUGCGUACCUUUUGUAUAAUGGGUCAGCGACUUAUAUUCUGUAGCAAGGUUAACCGAAUAGGGGAGCCGAAGGGAAACCGAGUCUUAACUGGGCGUUAAGUUGCAGGGUAUAGACCCGAAACCCGGUGAUCUAGCCAUGGGCAGGUUGAAGGUUGGGUAACACUAACUGGAGGACCGAACCGACUAAUGUUGAAAAAUUAGCGGAUGACUUGUGGCUGGGGGUGAAAGGCCAAUCAAACCGGGAGAUAGCUGGUUCUCCCCGAAAGCUAUUUAGGUAGCGCCUCGUGAAUUCAUCUCCGGGGGUAGAGCACUGUUUCGGCAAGGGGGUCAUCCCGACUUACCAACCCGAUGCAAACUGCGAAUACCGGAGAAUGUUAUCACGGGAGACACACGGCGGGUGCUAACGUCCGUCGUGAAGAGGGAAACAACCCAGACCGCCAGCUAAGGUCCCAAAGUCAUGGUUAAGUGGGAAACGAUGUGGGAAGGCCCAGACAGCCAGGAUGUUGGCUUAGAAGCAGCCAUCAUUUAAAGAAAGCGUAAUAGCUCACUGGUCGAGUCGGCCUGCGCGGAAGAUGUAACGGGGCUAAACCAUGCACCGAAGCUGCGGCAGCGACACUAUGUGUUGUUGGGUAGGGGAGCGUUCUGUAAGCCUGUGAAGGUGGCCUGUGAGGGUUGCUGGAGGUAUCAGAAGUGCGAAUGCUGACAUAAGUAACGAUAAAGCGGGUGAAAAGCCCGCUCGCCGGAAGACCAAGGGUUCCUGUCCAACGUUAAUCGGGGCAGGGUGAGUCGACCCCUAAGGCGAGGCCGAAAGGCGUAGUCGAUGGGAAACAGGUUAAUAUUCCUGUACUUGGUGUUACUGCGAAGGGGGGACGGAGAAGGCUAUGUUGGCCGGGCGACGGUUGUCCCGGUUUAAGCGUGUAGGCUGGUUUUCCAGGCAAAUCCGGAAAACCAAGGCUGAGGCGUGAUGACGAGGCACUACGGUGCUGAAGUGACAAAUGCCCUGCUUCCAGGAAAAGCCUCUAAGCAUCAGGUAACAUCAAAUCGUACCCCAAACCGACACAGGUGGUCAGGUAGAGAAUACCAAGGCGCUUGAGAGAACUCGGGUGAAGGAACUAGGCAAAAUGGUGCCGUAACUUCGGGAGAAGGCACGCUGAUAUGUAGGUGAAGCGACUUGCUCGUGGAGCUGAAAUCAGUCGAAGAUACCAGCUGGCUGCAACUGUUUAUUAAAA